GACGUUGAUAGGCCGGGUGUGUACGCGCAGCGAUGCGUUGAGCUAACCGGUACUAAUGAACCGUGAGGCUUAACCUUACAACGCCGAAG
This 89-nucleotide ribosomal RNA is filed under the name Klebsiella pneumoniae. Its description in RNAcentral is "partial 23S ribosomal RNA". The stretch from base 1 to 77 matches the Rfam family "Bacterial large subunit ribosomal RNA", at positions 2849 to 2925 of the family's 2925-position model. The record is from RNAcentral. Lineage: Bacteria; Pseudomonadati; Pseudomonadota; Gammaproteobacteria; Enterobacterales; Enterobacteriaceae.